UGGGUAACCUGCCUCAAAGAGGGGAAUAGCCUCCCGAAAGGGAGAUUAAUACCGCAUAAUAUGUUUAGGUCGCAUGACUUUAACAUCAAAGGAUUUUCUUUUAGAACUUCCACUUUGAGAUGGACCCGCGGCGCAUUAGCUAGUUGGUGAGGUAACGGCUCACCAAGGCAACGAUGCGUAGCCGACCUGAGAGGGUGAUCGGCCACAUUGGAACUGAGACACGGUCCAGACUCCGUAGGGAGG
This 243-nucleotide ribosomal RNA is filed under the name uncultured bacterium. Its description in RNAcentral is "partial 16S ribosomal RNA". It matches the Rfam family "Bacterial small subunit ribosomal RNA", at positions 118 to 348 of the family's 1533-position model. The record is from RNAcentral.